RNAcentral lists this transfer RNA (68 nucleotides) under Hemidactylus frenatus (common house gecko). RNAcentral's name for it is "tRNA-His". It matches the Rfam family "tRNA". From Rfam's summary of the family: Transfer RNA (tRNA) molecules are approximately 80 nucleotides in length. Their secondary structure includes four short double-helical elements and three loops (D, anti-codon, and T loops). Lineage: Eukaryota; Metazoa; Chordata; Lepidosauria; Squamata; Gekkonidae. The record is from RNAcentral.
GUAAGCAUAGUUUAACUAAAACAUUAAGCUGUGGACUUAAAAACAAAGACUUAAAUCUUUUACUUACC